RNAcentral lists this long non-coding RNA (4626 nucleotides) under Sus scrofa (pig). RNAcentral describes it as "lncRNA (ENSSSCG00040042140.1)". The record is from RNAcentral. Lineage: Eukaryota; Metazoa; Chordata; Mammalia; Artiodactyla; Suidae.
AGGGUCAAAUCAGAGCUGCAGCUGCCAGCCUAUACCACAGCCAUAGCAACACCAGAUCUGAACUGCAUCUGUGACCACCACAGCUUGUGGCAACCUGACACUGGAUCCUUAACCCACUAAGAGAGGCCAGGGAUUAAACCUGCAUCCUCAGGGAGUCCUUAACCCACUGAGCCACAGCAGGAAUCCCCCAGCUCCAGCUCUUUAAUCCCCUUUAUCAUUCAGGGGCAUUCUCCUUGAUCCAGCGCUCACAGUUUAGAUUCAGUUUUACGUCUGAUCCCUGGAGGACCCUCACACUAACACGAGGUGCUCCCAGGACAGUGCAAUAAAGAGGCCCACACCAGUGCCGGGCUGGGGGCCGUGCACACCUUGCUCAGCCUCAUGGUGCCAGUUGGGUACAACUCUUAUCAAAUGUGUAUUCAGUGACAUCACAUGGAAGGCUUGGAGCUUGCUACAGUGGAAGUGCUCACACCAUACAAAUCAGCCAAUGCUGCAGAUCAAGAUAAUCCCCCCCCCCCCGGAGCCCCUCUAGCACACCGCUGUCCCCAAUGUCACAGCAGCUAGGAUUCUUAGGCAUUCUGGUCCACAAAGGCUAUUUCUGUUCUUCAAGGCGGUCGUGAUGCCUACAGCCACAGCCCAUCCUCCUGUUAUUAAUCUCCCAUCGACUUUCCUCCUAAUGUAGGAUAAAACCCCUGUGGCUUCACAUCCCAAGAGUUCAUCAUGCAGACACUUCUCUCCACCUGCUUGCUGGUAGCGUUUGUCUGUUCAAGUGCUUCUUGUCAUCCCUGUAUGCUUGAAAUUCUCUAGUAGCCAACAACACUCUGUAAUUUUGUAAUCAAUAAGAAAUUGUACUGGCAAGAAGACAAUUACAAUAAGUCAAAUUCAAAACGAUAUGCUCCGGAUGCAAUCCCCCCCCUCCUUUUUUUUUCAAUUUGAGUGAACACAUCUCAAAAAGGCUCGAGGAGACCAUUUGUAUUCAUAAUGAACAAAAAUGCUCUGGAAUCCAUGAUUUAGUUACAUCUGGGUGUGAGAUGAAAAGAAUCAAAAGCCAAAACGGUGAGAUUGGCCUGAGUAAAUAAAUAAAUAAAUGCACACAUGGAUUGGUUUCAAUAAAGAGCAUUCCUUGUAGACGUGGGGUAAGGAAUAAAAAUGUCCUCAGGGCUAGGAUAUACAUACAAACGACAACAAAAAUCAUACUAGAGGCUUUGAACUUGUGAUUUAUUAGCCAAGUGUAGGCAUCCAUUGUCUUCACUGCAGACUAAGUUUUCUAAUAUCGGAAUCAGAGCAUUGUUUGUGGGCGUAGUCACAUCAUGUGUAUGUGAUGUUUUUCCCGUGUGUGUUUGUGCAUGUGUGCAUAUAUGUGUAGGCGUGUCUUGUGUGUGUAUGCACCUACAGGUCUGUUUGCACAUUUGUGUGUACAAGGAGAUGUGUAUACGUUCUGUUGUUACGUAUCGUGUGCGUCUAUGUGAAAGUUGUGUGUCUAUGUGAAAGUUAUGUGCACCAAGGCACUUAGUAAGUGUUCAAUAAAAGGGAAUUUAUUUCCUUCUUCCGUUUUAGUUUUGAGAGGCUACGGAAGAGCAAGGUACCCGCACUGCCUUGCUGAGUAUAUUCAUUAUUAAAGAAGAGAGAUUGCCUUCUAGUGUUUCUGUAAGUGAACGCUAAUGCAUUAAAAGUUGAAAAUAAAUAAAACAGGCAGACAAAAAGACAAGGCAGAAUUCACAGUGGAAACAUCUCCAGUGAACCUUGUACAACUGGAGUGUGGUCGUGAGGGGAGUGCGGGGGUUGCUGUUUGGGAGGCAGGGAAGCAAUUACACUGGGAGCUGCAAAAUGACGGGGAGUGUCUAGGACAUCACCCUGGACCCGUGAGUGGGGGCGCCAUUACCAAGAAACCAUUUUUAGGCACAAGGAAGAUUUUCCAAAUCCUCACUUUGUGCUACGAGAGCCACAUGAUCCAGGGCACAAACACUGAAGAACAUCCAAGUGGUACCCAGCUUCUUGGAUUUAGUUCCUUCCAUCAGAUCGAGGUGGGGGGGCGGGGGGGGGGGGAGGUUGCUUGACAAAUUGCCUUGGAUUUAUUUUUCCUCAUUUAUAUUAUAUUACAUAGGAUUGGAACACAACUCAAUGAGCAGACAGCAUGAUAGUCCGCAUAUUUAAUAUGAUUUCUGCUACAGGCAAAAUAGUACCAGAUAAAGCAUUCAUAUUUUUACGAUAGGUAAAUAAUCCUGUAGUGUCACAGAUGAACAUGCGACCAGCAGGCAUCCUCUAUUUAAGAAAACGCCUUUAUUUUUGUACCUUAUUACAGGAGAGAUAUUGCUUCAUUGGUACCUGUACUCCUACAGCGAUAGAAAAUAAACAAUUCAUGCGAGCACACACAGGCUCACACACAGCGCGCGCACCUGAGUGAUCUUGAAUAUUAUUUUGUGAACCAGGAUGCGCUCAGGAAUCACUCAGGGAUCUUGUUACAAUGUAGAUUCUGCUUCUCUAGCUCUGGGGGAGGGGGUGCCUGUGACUCUGCAUUUCUCACAAACCUCACCUGAACUUGAGCUCGGACCAUGAUCCUUGGACUCUACUUUGAACCUCCGCUUCUUCAUCAGCAACACGUAGAUGCUAGUGUUUCAUGAUGCCACAAGGGUUACACCAGACAAUGCUCAGAGAAGCCCCAGCGAGCAUCUGGCACGCACUAUGUUCCAUCAAUGGACACAGUUACAACUAUUAUGAAUAACGUGCUCACGGAACCAGUGCAGACAUUAACCACCUGAAGGGAACAAGGUAACAUCAAUUAGAGGCAUGUGGUUCCAUCCCCCUUCUACACCCUACAGCUAAUGGCCACGUUGCAGAGUUACUUAGCCCUGCAAAUUCCAGCUGCUGUGCAUUGUGUAUUCGACCGCCCUCCUCAAAAAUAAUAACACAGUUGGGAAAGAAAGAAAGGGAGAGAAUCUGUUUGCCUUAGAAAGUUUCCACAGCUCAGCAGCACGUACUGGCUGGUAACUUCAUUUCCCAGGGCCUGGCGGAGGCCGUAAUCCAUGAAAAUGGAGCACAAGUCCUUGCAUGAUGUACUUUGCUGUAAGCCGCUAAGAUUCACUUGCAGCUCUGCGUGAGACCCCUGAGUUCUCUUUGAUAAGUUGCCCGACCCGAGAAAGCUGAAAAUGUGUCCAUUAUUGUGGGGGCUGCCAGGAGGAGAUGGUUUUAGAAGUAGAGAGGGUGGUAGAUCAGGGAUCCUGGGGUGUGGAGCGUGCCUCCCGACCUCGUUUGUUGGAAGAGGAGAGCCCGAGUUGGUUUUACAAAGUGCUCAGAGCCCUGGCGAGGCAGGCUAAGAGGCGAUUUGGGUUGCCUUCCACCCAGUGCCUGCGGGUGAGGUGAUCAGGGCGUUAGGAAGGGUUUUAGCACCUGUGGAAAUGGGGGAGCCAGCACCAGGCAACUCUCCCUCUCCCCUGCAGAGGAAAGAGCACCCUGGUGCUCAGACGGCAAAGCCAGGGAAAGAAUAAUGUGGAGUGCAGACGGGGCCACGGGAGGCUAGCCCUCGCAGCCCCUGCGUCGGAGAGGAUGAAAUGUUUCUGCUUUUCUGGAGGGCAAUUUGGCACUCCUUUUCAAAACCUUUAAACUGGUGCCUACCUUGGACCCCGCAGACCUGCAUCUGGAAAAUUAUCCCAAGGAAACAACAUAAAUGUGUGGAAUAUUUUAGCCUUAGGGUGCCACGCCUGGAACUGGGACACAGGGUUUUUGUUUUUGUUUUGUUUUGUUUUGUAAUUUUGAUUGGUGGGGGUAGCUGAAAACAAAACUAAACCAACAACAACAGCAAUACAGAGACAAAGCGCGCGCGCGCACACACACACACACACACACACACGAAUGAUCUCUUUUCAAAGCUCCAGGCAGUUUUCUCUCUCAAAGAGCAGGAGGCUGGAGUUGGCCUUUGGUGGAGGCUGUAAUAUUGUUUGGAAGCAAAUCCCCUUUCAUGGGAAGAAUAUUAAGCAAAGCUUCUCCCCAGUAUUCCCAGGCAAAUUUGAGAAGGCAGGUGUGUUAGAUUCAAAAGUUAAGUGCCCUGCUUGGUUAUGUAAAUUGUUAAAUGCACUUUUAAAAAAAAAAAUCCAGAACUGUAUUUCUGCAGACUGGGAUGCUCCUCUAUAAAUAGCCCAGUGUCUCUACUGGAUAAGGAUUCAAGCUGGUUACAAUUUGCCUGGAAAGAAUGGCCAUUUAGCCAUGCACUAUUCCAAUGGUGGGGCAGGCAGGGGCUGCAUAUAUAGCUCGAGGAAUUGCCCUCAGUUUGCUUAUAAUCUAGUGGUCUGAGAGAGGGAAUUAGCACAGACAAGAAUAAGUAGGUAAAGAGAUGUAAGCAUGCAUAAUACUACUAAGUCCAACGUAGAGGUUACUACGAUAGAAAGUAUUGGGAAUAAGCUCAUAACGUAGGAUGGUUUCCGAGGGCCCCGCUAAAGAGGUGGCCAGGGAAUGAAGGAAGAGCAACCCAGUGGCCAUCACAGGGGGCGAUGUCGCUGCGAACACCUAGGUGGAAGCAUGGGAGAUUGUAUUUUGGAUGGGUAUCAGAAGUCAGCUUCGUAGGCUUGUGAGAAUGACACAGUAGAGAGGAAGAAAUUGAUGGCUCUGCACAGAAUAAAAAAAUCUGAAGGAGCA